CCCGUGCCUAAUACAUGCAAGUCGAGCGGCAGAUGGGAGCUUGCUCCCUGAUGUUAGCGGCGGACGGGUGAGUAACACGUGGGUAACCUGCCUGUAAGACUGGGAUAACUCCGGGAAACCGGGGCUAAUACCGGAUGGUUGUUUGAACCGCAUGGUUCAGACAUAAAAGGUGGCUUCGGCUACCACUUACAGAUGGACCCGCGGCGCAUUAGCUAGUUGGUGAGGUAACGGCUCACCAAGGCGACGAUGCGUAGCCGACCUGAGAGGGUGAUCGGCCACACUGGGACUGAGACACGGCCCAGACUCCUACGGGAGGCAGCAGUAGGGAAUCUUCCGCAAUGGACGAAAGUCUGACGGAGCAACGCCGCGUGAGUGAUGAAGGUUUUCGGAUCGUAAAGCUCUGUUGUUAGGGAAGAACAAGUGCCGUUCAAAUAGGGCGGCACCUUGACGGUACCUAACCAGAAAGCCACGGCUAACUACGUGCCAGCAGCCGCGGUAAUACGUAGGUGGCAAGCGUUGUCCGGAAUUAUUGGGCGUAAAGGGCUCGCAGGCGGUUUCUUAAGUCUGAUGUGAAAGCCCCCGGCUCAACCGGGGAGGGUCAUUGGAAACUGGGGAACUUGAGUGCAGAAGAGGAGAGUGGAAUUCCACGUGUAGCGGUGAAAUGCGUAGAGAUGUGGAGGAACACCAGUGGCGAAGGCGACUCUCUGGUCUGUAACUGACGCUGAGGAGCGAAAGCGUGGGGAGCGAACAGGAUUAGAUACCCUGGUAGUCCACGCCGUAAACGAUGAGUGCUAAGUGUUAGGGGGUUUCCGCCCCUUAGUGCUGCAGCUAACGCAUUAAGCACUCCGCCUGGGGAGUACGGUCGCAAGACUGAAACUCAAAGGAAUUGACGGGGGCCCGCACAAGCGGUGGAGCAUGUGGUUUAAUUUCGAAGCACGCGAAGAACCUUACCAGUCUUGACAUCCUCUGACAUCCUAGAGAUAGGACGUCCCCUUCGGGGGCAGAGUGACAGGUGGUGCAUGGGUCGUCAGCUCGUGUCGUGAGAUUGGGUUAAGUCCCGCACGAGCGCAACCCUGAUCUUAGUUGCCAGCAUAGGCUCUGACUGCGGACAAACAGGGACUCAAUUUGCCCAGACCGGCCUCGGCCUAAAUGAAAAA
This 1157-nucleotide ribosomal RNA is filed under the name Bacillus amyloliquefaciens. RNAcentral's name for it is "bacterial SSU rRNA". It matches the Rfam family "Bacterial small subunit ribosomal RNA", at positions 41 to 1150 of the family's 1533-position model. The record is from RNAcentral. Lineage: Bacteria; Bacillati; Bacillota; Bacilli; Caryophanales; Bacillaceae.